GACGAACGCUGGCGGCGUGCUUAACACAUGCAAGUCGAACGGAAAGGCCCUGCUUUUGUGGGGUGCUCGAGUGGCGAACGGGUGAGUAACACGUGAGUAACCUGCCCUUGACUUUGGGAUACCUUCAGGAAACUGGGGCUAAUACCGGAUAGGAGCUCCUGCUCCAUGGUGGGGGUUGGAAAGUUUCGGCGGUUGGGGAUGGACUCGCGGCUUCUCAGGUUGUUUGGGGGGUAGUGGCUUACCCAGGCAUUGGCGGGUAGCCGGCCUGAGAGGGUGACCGGCCACAUUGGGACUGGGAUACGGCCCAGCCUCCUACGGGAGGCAGCGGUGGGGAGUAUUGCACAAUGGGCGGAAGCCUGAUGCAGCACCGCCGCGUGCGGGAUGACGGCCUUCGGGUUGUAAACCGCUUUCGCCUGUGACGAAGCGUGAGUGACGGUAAUGGGUAAAGAAGCACCGGCUAACUACGUG
This 468-nucleotide ribosomal RNA is filed under the name uncultured bacterium. RNAcentral describes it as "partial 16S ribosomal RNA". It matches the Rfam family "Bacterial small subunit ribosomal RNA", at positions 28 to 507 of the family's 1533-position model. The record is from RNAcentral.